Phrynosoma platyrhinos (Desert horned lizard) is the source of this 71-nucleotide non-coding RNA. The record is from the annotation of a GenBank genome assembly. Lineage: Eukaryota; Metazoa; Chordata; Lepidosauria; Squamata; Phrynosomatidae.
GCCAAUGUGGUUUAGUGGGUUCAGUGUUGGACUACAACUCUGAGACCAGGGUUUGAAUCCCUCCUUAGCCA